RNAcentral lists this small RNA (1111 nucleotides) under Pan troglodytes (chimpanzee). RNAcentral describes it as "retained intron". The record is from RNAcentral. Lineage: Eukaryota; Metazoa; Chordata; Mammalia; Primates; Hominidae.
GAAGAGUGACCCCCGCCUAGGACCAGCAUAUGCCUUGAUGGCAGUGGACACCUGGGUCCCACAGGUUGCUGGCUGUGGCCUGGAGGAAGGGUCCACCAGGUCUCAGUCCUGAGAGACAGUGGAAAAUGGACCAAAACCCGACAUGUUCUGAGGGUAGGAUUGGGGUGGCUGGUUUUCCUCUUCUGUGUUCUCUAACUGCCCCGUAACGCAGAUGAUGGUCUUAUAAUGAGAAGAAGUAAUAGCUGUGUUAUCCUUGAGCUUAGGAGGCAAGACAAGUGUGUUUGAAAUGAAAAGAACAAGUCUUUUCCAAAGUAGUCUCCAUGGAGAUUGUGGGUGCUCUGACACUGCCACAUGGGUCACAGCACCCGACCCAGCCCCCUAAUGUCCCCGCCUCCCAUUCCAGCUCACCAACCACCAGGAGCUGUGGGCCUUCAUCGUCACCAACCUGGCGAGUGUGUAUAUACGGGAAGGAAAUAGACACCAAGAGGUACUCUACAGUCUGCUGGAGAGGAUCAACCCGGACCACAGCUUCCCUGUCAGCUCGCACUGCCUCCGAGCAGCCGCCUUCUAUGUGCGUGGGCUCUUCUCCUUCUUCCAGGGACGCUACAACGAGGCCAAGCGAUUUCUGCGGGAAACUCUGAAGAUGUCCAAUGCUGAGGACCUGAACCGGCUCACAGCCUGCUCCCUCGUGCUCCUGGGCCACAUCUUCUAUGUGCUGGGAAACCACAGGGAGAGUAACAACAUGGUGGUGCCUGCCAUGCAGCUCGCCAGCAAGAUCCCGGACAUGUCGGUACAGCUGUGGUCGUCAGCACUGCUGAGAGACCUGAAUAAAGCCUGUGGGAACGCCAUGGAUGCCCAUGAAGCCGCCCAGAUGCACCAGAACUUCUCGCAGCAGCUGCUCCAGGACCACAUUGAGGCCUGCAGCCUCCCCGAACACAACCUCAUCACGUGGACAGACGGUCCACCCCCCGUGCAGUUCCAAGCUCAGAAUGGACCCAACACCAGCCUGGCCAGCCUCCUGUGAGGCCUUGAUGGGGCCAUCCAGCUCCGCAGAGCCUGCGCGUCUCCGGCUUCCACCCAGACGGCACUCAAGCCUGCCCCCGAGGCGUGC